This 494-nucleotide ribosomal RNA is filed under the name uncultured bacterium. RNAcentral's name for it is "partial 16S ribosomal RNA". It matches the Rfam family "Bacterial small subunit ribosomal RNA", at positions 28 to 507 of the family's 1533-position model. The record is from RNAcentral.
GACGAACGCUGGCGGCGUGCUUAACACAUGCAAGUCGAACGGUGAAGCGCCUUCCUUUUUGGUGGGUGUGGAUGAGUGGCGAACGGGUGAGUAACACGUGAGUAACCUGCCCCCUUCUUCUGGAUAACCGCAUGAAAGUGUGGCUAAUACGGGAUAUUCUGGGUCUGUCGCAUGAUGGGUCUGGGAAAGAUAUUGUUUCGGUGGGGGAUGGCCUCGCGGCCUAUCAGGUUGUUGGGGGGGUGAUGGCCUACCAAGGCGGUGACGGGUAGCCGGCCUGAGAGGGUGGGCGGUCCUAGUGGGACUGAGGCACGGCCCAGACUCCUACGGGAGGCAGCAGUGGGGACUAUUGCACAAUGGGCGCAAGGCUGAUGCAGCGACGCCGCGUGAGGGAUGGAGGCCUGCGGGUUGUGAACCUCUUUCGCCAGUGAAGCAGGCCUGCCUCGUUUGUGGGUGGGUUGACGGUAGCUGGAGAAGAAGCGCCGGCUAACUACGUG